GACCGGACGGAGAAAAAAGUGAAUGAGUCAACAGCAGAACGGGGACAGAGGCUGCAAAUCCCACAAGAAUGAGGAGGAUUUUCAGAGGAAGAUGGAUGAUGAGAACUGUGAGAACUGGGCCAGCUUGGAGUCUCUGUUCCCUGGAAUUCUUGCUAGCAACAAAGAUGAGGUCACUGGAGGAGAA
This is a long non-coding RNA of Ornithorhynchus anatinus (platypus), 184 nucleotides long. RefSeq lists it as uncharacterized. NCBI's taxonomy places the organism in Eukaryota, Metazoa, Chordata, Mammalia, Monotremata, Ornithorhynchidae. The record is from RefSeq and is a predicted model, not a curated record. The transcript is spliced from 3 exons.